UAUGCCUUUUUCAGAAUAUAUUUCACCAAUUUUAAGAAGUCCCUGACAUCAAAACAGUAAAUAUUGUUGUCUCUGUGUCAGAUGGCUUAUUUUGUUCCUGGACUCUUCAGUGAUGAUGAGCAGAGUCUGAGUGAACCUGCUGUCAGACAAUCACUAUUGCACACCAAAUGCUCUUACUCAGCAGAUGGGGACAGCUACCAUCACCCAAUUUUCACCCAAAAGUGGCUGCGCUAUGCGCCAGACCGGGCAGGAGGGACUGGACGACAACUUAUGCAGGCAUCAGAUGACAAUGAAGUGUAAAUAAAGAGUAGAGAGGCUAAUAAACAUGAAUUUGAUUUUAAAUAGUGUGGUGUGUUCUGUGUUUUAUACAAGAUUUUAAAUGUUCCAUUAAUUUUUAACAUCCUGGCUGUAGAUAAAGCAGGCUAUUUAAUUUAUGGCAUUACAUUUAAAAUUAACAUUUAAAAAUGAUUGAAAUUCCAUUGAAAUCACGUUGAUCCUUAGUUCAGUUGAAAUUUCAACAUUGUUUCAAUAUUCCUGAUAAUUGAAAUACCAUUGAAAUUCCGUUGAUCUAUGGACAGAAUUUCAACAUUGUUUCAAUAUUAAAUCAGGGUGCAAAAUGAUGUUGGAUCAACAUCAGAGUUCGAUGUUGAU
This is a long non-coding RNA of Carassius auratus (goldfish), 651 nucleotides long. RefSeq lists it as uncharacterized. Lineage: Eukaryota; Metazoa; Chordata; Actinopteri; Cypriniformes; Cyprinidae. The record is from RefSeq and is a predicted model, not a curated record. The transcript has 4 exons.